RNAcentral lists this long non-coding RNA (457 nucleotides) under Homo sapiens (human). RNAcentral describes it as "novel transcript, antisense to KIF13B". The record is from RNAcentral. Lineage: Eukaryota; Metazoa; Chordata; Mammalia; Primates; Hominidae.
GACAUAUUCAGAACAUGGCAGCUUCUAGAAUUGGUUCAAUCUUCUGCUCGAGUGGCAGUGGCCAAAGGCCUGGAGCCGACCAAGGAGAGGUUAUCUAGGUAAGAAUCAUCAGUGGCUGAUCAUCCCUCAAAGACAAACAACUAGACAAGAUGUGGCUCCUGAUGGAAGAACGCAGGCCACCACCUACAAAGCACCCUGGCUGCCUCCCUCCCCCAGGAAACAAGGCAUGAAGAGAAAACCAACCUCUCCUUUCUGGUUGAUGAUGGGAACAGCGUAUUGUAACUUCACAUCAUAGAAAAGUGACUCGAGGAAGACAUUGGCCACCCCAAUGAGACUGUGAUUUUCCUGCUCAUCAUAGAAUGGAUCAGCACGUUUGAAGUAUGAUCGUAUUACCUGUAAAGAGAUUGAGAACACACAACUUCAGAAAAACCAUUUACAAUAAAUGCAUUCAACCUAC